UCCAAAUCCUGCAGAUAGUAGCAGCACAGAAAGACCAGCACCAUAGCACUGCACCUUCUCUGCACUCUGAAAGUCCCUCUCCAAGGUGCCGCCUCCCACCGCCCUCUGACACAGAGUCUCAGAACAUGAGAUGCUGGCCUGGCAGUGAUGAUUGUGAAUCUUUGCUAAGACCUGUCAUCAUCCUCAGCACUCUGCCAAAACCUACUGCCAAGCCCUUAAACGGACAGCAGGACAAAGAGAGCAAGCCCUGUCCAGUGGUGGCCUGGAGAUGUGCGUGCAGAACCUGUUCUGUUGGGUCCCCAAAUGAAGAGGCAGGGAGGCGGCCCAGCCAGGCCCAGCUCACCCCAGCUAGCAGGGAAAAUCAGUCAUGCCAUCACGGGAGGGGCCACUGCAUUUUGCAAAUAGUGUUUCGCCAGGCAUCCUGGGUGCUUACUGGGGGCCAAGAAGGGGGCCUGUCUGCACCAAAAACAAGGGUAUCCCUGUGGAGGAGCCCGUCCAACAGAGCCUCUGCAGGGCAGCAAGGAAAGAAGCCAGGCACCUCCACCCCCUCCCUACCUGUCCAGACAUGGGAGGCAGCAGAAAGGACCCUCGGGGUCCAAGGCGCCAGAGCUGGUGGGUGGGCAGCUCAGGAAGAGAAGCACUUCCCAAAGUAAAGAGGCACCAUCUCUUCUGCAUCUUUCUGUGGGUUCUCACCCAGGCUCCUCAUGCACCCCCAGAGCCCUGCAAUGUGGGCAGAUUUGGGGGUGGACUCAUAUGGCUGUAUUUUUCCUGUGGAGAGAGUUGCUAGCUUUUACAAUAUUCUUAUUCCUCGGCCCACGAUACGGCAAUGACAUGGACACAUGGAACUCUUUCCAUGCCUUCCCAGGUCCCGCGUCCCUGUGAUGAGAAUGGAGGGAGGAGAGAGAGCUAGGCUUUGCCCCCGAUAAAUAAGGAGGCUCCAAAGGCCUAUGUCCAUGUCCACUUCUUACUUCUCAAGCCUGUCUAACUCCUCCUCAUCUUGGGUGCCUCUUUCUCCAGGAAGCUCUCCAUGAGUACUUCCCCCCAUUGAGUCACACUGUGUAGCAGUUGCCUUCUCAAUUGUCUGUUUCCCCCACUAGACCUCAGAUCCCACUGAAGCAAUGGGCUCUAUCUGUCAGGUUCAGCCCCUUGCCGGGGACCUGGCACAUGGUGGCAACCAGUCGUUCCCAAAUGAGUGAAUGAUUGAAAGGAUAAUCAUAGUCCUAAAUUAGGUGGCUCUCAAAAGGCCCACAUCUGAGGAGGUUCUACAUUUUAUUUUUUAAGGAACCAGAGAUAGAAGGAAACUUGGAGUUACAUGUUCCCUCCAGCAAGGUGAGGGAAGAAGCCAGAAUCCCCAGGGGAAACAAACAGGGCAAGGGCCCAGGACCUCGAGAUUCCUUCUGCAGAAUAAAGAAAGGGCAGGGGACAAUGACCACAAGGGGCUCUGAGAGGUGGAGGGAGGCCCAGGACUCUUCUGUUUUCUGAGGCCCCUGGCAUGCACAGAAAUGAAGAAAUGUGACAAUGGCCUUACAAAAAUGAUGGUCCAUCCUAAACACCCACCUUUAAUAACCAGAGGUGUCUGGGUCUGUCAUGUACCUUGUCAGGGAGACUCCCUCAUUGUACAUGUGAUCUGAUUUGGAGGUUAUGUCCAAAGUCUAAAUGUGUGGCCCUUUGUGAUUUGGGACCUGGGGCCUACGACCUUCUCCAUACAUGCCCUGCACAUCAUCACCAGCCCCGAGCUGGGAUACUGCUGGGUUAUUCCUUUUUACCAUCCACGUGCAAGGUGCAGGCCGUGCUCAGAGCAUCUCAAGCUCAGAAGAGUUCUGACGCCUAGCUCGAGGUGGCCCAGCUUCCUGAGGACUGCAGGGCUGAGGCUGCAUGGCCAACUGGCUACCCCAAGGAAAGCAGGUACCUGAGCCCACAGGGCACUUUAGUGUGGGGCUCAAGAGUGGCCACACUCCCUUGCUGCCUCUGGGUUUCCCUCCUCGCCACUCACUCCAUGAAUAAUGCCAAAAAGUGGCCACACUCCCUUGCUGCUUCUGGGUUUCCCUCCUCGCCACUCACUCCAUGAAUAAUGCCAAUAAGUGGUGCUUCUCCAGAUGGGGGCCGUGAGGAGGGCUGAGGCUGAGCUGCCAACUCUAAACCAGAUGGCUGCUCGAGGACCCUGGCCUGGCCAGCAGACUGGCGCCACCACCUGGUGGGGAGCAGGACUGGCAUGCUCCUUUCCAUCUGCCUCCUCCACCCAAGUCUCCAGAGCCCUUGCGGUGUUCCCUGACCUCUGGGAGGGAUGUGAGAGUGACAGAGAUUUGAGGCACAAUGUCCACCACAGAAUCUAUCACCUAGUAGUUGGGGAAAGCUGUCAGGCAAAGGAGCACAAAGGUGAACAAGAUGAAACACCAGCCAGCAAAGGAUCAGCUUAUGUGCAAACUAGCUUGCUGACCCAGGGAGGAGGCAGGGAGAGGCAGAUGGGAGGGCCUGGCUCAGCCUCCAGCAGAAGGGUGCCUCUAAGACAGGAGGUUAGUGUAUGCAUGGGCUUCGGGGGCUGGACAAGCUAGGUCUGAAUCUCAGCUUCUCCAUAAGCCAGGCAAGUGACCUCUGGCAAGUUACUGUUCUUCUCUGAGUGCAAUUCCUAAAUCUGCAAAAGAGGGUUAAGAACACUUGCACUGCUCUGCUGUUAUUACAAUUAAACUAAAUAAUGGAUGUGGAGCGCCUGACACAGUGCUCAGACUAGAAUCUGUCUUGAGAAGCAAUCUGUUAAUAAUAGGAAACCAAGGUUCAAGAGUGAUUACUUUAAAAAAUAUAAGUUAGAACAGAUUCAAGUUUAUCCAAUAAGAACAUCCCUCUUGGGUUCUUACUCAUUUUCUUGAGUAGUGGAGAAAAGAGUAGAGUGGCCACCAGCUGAGGAGGAGACUCAGUGUCUUUCACCAUUGAUUUUACUUAAGCUUCAGCCAUGGAGAGACCCUGCAAAAUGUCCUCAGGAGCUGCAGAGGCAGCAAGGAAUAGAUGUUAGUGCUGAUGGCUUGGGAGAUGCACUCACUGUUCUAUGUUCUUCAGGUGCUCUAACUCCUUAAUCCUCACAGCACCCCCCAUGAGCAGGUGCUAUAAUUGUCCCUAUCUUAGAGAUGAGGAAGAGAGGGCACCCAGAAGUUGGGGGGCCAGCCCAAGCUUACACUGCUUCUAUGUAGCCAACCUGGGACUGCAGCCGGGCACUCUGGCCCCAGAACCUCUCUACUCCCAACCACUAGCCACGAGCUGCCUAUGAUCUGGGAACUAUGUUGAUCCCCAUUCCUCAAAUAAGAAAACUGCUGUUCAGAGACAUUGAGGGCUUUUGCAAGGUCACACAGUAGUCAUUGGCAGAGCUAGGAUGGUCAUGGUUUUAGCUGUGAUUUUUAGUCAAUUGAGUUUCCUAUUUAAUUCUUUUUUUUUUUAAUGGAUGCACCUGAGGCAUACAAAAGUUUCUGGGCCAGGGAAUGAAUCCAAGCUGCAACUGCAAUCCAAGCUGCAGCUGUGGCAAUGCCGGAUCCUAUUUUUUAAUUAUUUUUUUGCCUUUUGUCUUUUUAGGGUCACACCCAAGGCAUAUGGAGGUUCCCAGGGUAGGAGUUGAAUCAGAGCUGUAGCCAAUGACCUACACCAGAGCCACAGCAAUGCCAGAUCAGAGAUGCAUCUGCGACCUACACCAAAGUUCACCGCAACACCGGAUCCUUAACCUACUGAGCAAGGCCAGGGAUGGAACCCGCAACCUCAUGGUUCCUAGUCGGAUUCCUUUCUGCAGUGCCACUAUGGGAACUCCUGCAGUGCCAGAUCCUUUAACCCACUGUGCUGGACUGUGGAUUGAACCCACACCUCUGCAACAAUCCAAGAUGCUGCAGUCAGAUUCUUAACCUGCUGAGCCAUGGCAGAAACUCUAAGUUUCCUAUUUAAUUCAACUUGGGAUCCAGAAAGCAAAAGCCAGCCCCUCUCCAGUAAUAGGAACUGUAAAAGGUGAGCUGAGGGCCCUGUUAGCAGCCACAUUUCCUAUGCACGAUGUGGCAGAAGCUGGUCUAUGGUGAGAGACAGUGAAAGCACCACAUAGACAGAAGCAAAGAUGAGACUCUGCCAGCAGAUUGAAGCCCUUGUUCCAGCCAUUCCUAAAAUCCAGCUGCACCCUCCCCAUUUCGAAGAUUUGGUUGUUCAAAUUUAGGACUUGAUUCCAAGAGCCAAUAAAGCUUCUCUGUGUCUCCAGGUUGUUAUAAGCUGGGUGUCAGUCAUUUGCAACCAAAGUGGGUUCUGGCAGAAAAGGCAGAAUGCAGAAACAAGAGGCCGAAACCAGAAGACUGGGGGACCAGGACGAAUGACAGAGGCAUAGAGAACACAAAAGAGGCAGUCAGAGCACCAAAGAGCACAAAGCCAGAAGGGCCGUUAGCCCAUCUUCCCAAACCCCACUGCUGUCCGGUUCCCGAGCUGGAUUCUUCAGCCCCCAGACUGCCCGAAACAGCCAUGAAAACAUCGUGAACUGGAGCUUUUGAAGAGUUCCUGUUCCAAAUGUAUGUGAGCUUCACAGCCUUUCUGAAUUCUAUGUGUAGACAUUCACUUAUUCAAUUUCCCCUUAGAAGAGGCAUACUUCCAAUAAAUCUUCACACUAGAGAGAAACCUCCCCCCCUGCAUCCUUCAGAACCCCUGUGUGCUCUCCCUAAAUAUCGUUCCUCUUGCCCCGCUCUCUGCUGCACCAGCCCGGCAGGGGCUUCUGGGAAGGCAGAUGGUCCUAGCUCAGAGCUGACCCCAGCCCAGCCCUUGGGAAGGCAGGGCUGUUGAUGAGCCAGCAGGGUGUGUGCUGACGCAGCCGGCCCAGAUUACCAAGAUGGAGAUGGGUCCAUGGCAUCGCUCACGAUCCAACAGGCGGCACUCCACGCAGCCCGCCCAAAGCUGCUGUUAGUCACGCAUGCAUUUUAAUUUAGCUACAGAAGAGGGAUGAGCAAAGAGUGCCGAGUAAUCCUCUCCCUUAGAGAGAGAAAAAUGGGACCUAGGGAAGUCACACAACUUCCCUAAGGUCCCUGGCCUGUCAACAAAGAAGCGCUCACUGGGGCAGGCUUCCUGGGGCUCCUGCUGAUUCCAGUCCAAGCAGCACUUUUGUCAUUUUUGGCUGGGAUCAGAACCGAGUCACACUCCCCACCUUUUUCCAACCCUCCCCCCACCAACCCUAAGUUUCCUUUCAGAGGUCAAACUAGAGAUGUGGUUUAAUUCCAUCAAUCUGUCAUUGACUGACUCAUUCAUUCAAGGUGUACUGGGCUGGAAGGGAGCACUGGGUCAUCUGACCAAAUCCUCCUAUCCAGCAUCCAUGAGCUCUUUGAUUCUAGGAAACGAAAUUGACUCUAGCUAACUG
Molecule: long non-coding RNA, 5356 nt
Filed under: Sus scrofa (pig)
Lineage: Eukaryota; Metazoa; Chordata; Mammalia; Artiodactyla; Suidae
Description: lncRNA (ENSSSCG00000053966.1, ENSSSCG00090017709.1)
Source: RNAcentral